CCUACGGGAGGCAGCAGUGAGGAAUAUUGGUCAAUGGACGAGAGUCUGAACCAGCCAAGUAGCGUGAAGGAUGACUGCCCUAUGGGUUGUAAACUUCUUUUAUAUGGGAAUAAAAUGUUCCACGUGUGGGAUUUUGUAUGUACCAUAUGAAUAAGGAUCGGCUAACUCCGUGCCAGCAGCCGCGGUAAUACGGAGGAUACGAGCGUUAUCCGGAUUUAUUGGGUUUAAAGGGAGCGUAGGUGGAUUGUUAAGUCAGUUGUGAAAGUUUGCGGCUCAACCGUAAAAUUGCAGUUGAAACUGGCAGUCUUGAGUACAGUAGAGGUGGGCGGAAUUCGUGGUGUAGCGGUGAAAUGCUUAGAUAUCACGAAGAACUCCGAUUGCGAAGGCAGUUCACUGGACUGCAACUGACACUGAGGCUCGAAAGUGUGGGUAUCAAACAGGAUUAGAUACUCCAGUAGUC
Molecule: ribosomal RNA, 460 nt
Filed under: uncultured bacterium
Lineage: Bacteria
Description: partial 16S ribosomal RNA
Rfam family: Bacterial small subunit ribosomal RNA
Source: RNAcentral